AAAUGUUGUGGUAACACUUGAAAAUGGAAUUGGGUGCAAUUAAGAGUGGUGAAGCGGCUGCAAGGCUGCUGAAUGAGAUCAGCAAUGCUAACACUGCUAGUUCAGCGCAUUGAAAUGCACUACAGGAACGGUUGACUGACUAUUUCGCUGAUCCUGCAGCAGAGGAUGAUUUUGUUGACACUGAGACCGACCCUGAUAGUGAAACCGAAGUUAGCAAUGUGCUAUAUUCUCAUGCACUCUCUAGAUAAUGGCCAAGACCCUAGUGAUGUGGCUGGGGAUGACUUUCAGGGUCCAGCUGUUUCCUCUGUGUUGAAUGUUGUGUGUAAGGACAAUGUUAAUGCAGCUGACGUACAGGAUGACGAUACAGGUGAAGCCCCAGGUAUUGUGGAAGUGAAUCAAGCCGCAGCAGUGAUGAAGUUGGUAAAGGACUUUGUUCUAGAUAAAGACAAGGACGCGAACGCUGCGUCAAGCAAUUGGAGCCAGAACCUGUGUAUAAUUUGCGGCUCAGCAUGUCGGAAAUGACGGACUUUGAGAAAGAUCUCAUACUCAUCGGGAAAGUCAGCUCUACCAUGAAUCAGUCCAGUUUGACAGAAUGUUCGAAAUGAGCUUCCCAGAACCAAAGAAAAAGGCAACAAACGAAUUACUUUGUUGAAGGAAAACGAGUCUGUCGCAAAGCUUUUAAAUUCAUUCAUGGAUUUCUGAGGAAAAGCUCGAUGUCUGCAUCUUGUGGUACAAGGAAAGCGGCCUUGUUCCACGCCAGAAGAAGUCUGCAGGCAGAGGAAAGAAUCCAAGGUUUCUGUCACAUGGUGACCAUCAGAGGGUUGUCUCAUUCAUAGAGAACUUUGCUGAGGACCAUGCCAUAGUGCUUCCUGGCCGUAUCCCUGGCUUCAAAGAUUUCCGUAUGAAACUGCUGCCAUCAAGUGAGACCAGGUCUUCUAUAUGUCGGCUCUAUCGCACUGCAAUGCAGUUAUCUGGUGAGCGAGCAGUGAAGAACAGCACCUUCCGUAAACUGUGAAACACCCUUCUACCGUUCAUAGUCCAGGCGAAACCAAUGCCGGAUCUGUGUUGGACUUGCCAACAGAACAACUAUGCGGUAUACAGGAGUGCGAAUCUUCCAGAAGCUGUUAAAUCAAGAAAACUAAUUAAACAGGAAGAGCACCUGCGUGUUGUCAAUAUGGAACGUCAGUCAUAUCGUGACAUGGUUGCAGCUGCAAAAACGGCAGUCGGUGAAAUGGAUGGACCAGUCCGACUAGGACCAAAUCGACC
This is a long non-coding RNA of Priapulus caudatus, 1266 nucleotides long. RefSeq lists it as uncharacterized. The transcript has 3 exons. The record is from RefSeq and is a predicted model, not a curated record. NCBI's taxonomy places the organism in Eukaryota, Metazoa, Priapulida, Priapulimorpha, Priapulimorphida, Priapulidae.